AUACUUACUUGGCAGGGGAGAUACUAUGAUCACGAAGGUGGUUUUCCCAGGGUGAGGCUUAUCCAUUGCACUCCGGAUGUGCUGACCGUUGUGAUUUCCCCAAAUGUGGGGAACUCGACUGCAUAAUUUGUGGUAGUGGGGAACUGCGUUCCUGCUUUCCCCUG
This 164-nucleotide small nuclear RNA is filed under the name Saimiri boliviensis boliviensis (Bolivian squirrel monkey). Its description in RNAcentral is "U1 spliceosomal RNA (ENSSBOG00000010644.1)". It matches the Rfam family "U1 spliceosomal RNA". Rfam says of the family: U1 is a small nuclear RNA (snRNA) component of the spliceosome (involved in pre-mRNA splicing). Lineage: Eukaryota; Metazoa; Chordata; Mammalia; Primates; Cebidae. The record is from Rfam by way of RNAcentral.